UUAAAGUGCUCCUGUGUAAAGAUAAUUAUCCAAUAAAUGUUCCCCUGCACCAGCAAAGUGCAAGAAACAGGUGGAGAAUGGGAGCUCCUGAGGUUUUUUUUUCCAUUUUCAAGCACCUGCAGCUGUAUCAGGAGCUCGUUGCUAGUGAAACAUAUCCUCAUGGUGAGCAGUUUUCCAGUGCCAGCAACAGCUUUGCAUGGCAGCUGCAUGAAGAAGAGAGAUAUUUAUUUAGAGCUGCACUGAGGACAGAGCUCAGUCCUCUGGGGAUGUUUGUUGCUGGCACAAUGUUCCUGAGAUGGAGGAAACCACAAACGGGCUGACAUCAUUUCACCUCAUGGCCUUAGAGAUCCCUGUGGAGGAGGAUGCUGUUCCAGGACAGUGCUUGCUGAGGGAGCAUCGUGGUUGAGCUUCUGCAUCCUUCCAUGGAGAGGCUGAUGGAGUCUGGCAUGCAGUGUGAGCUCCCUGCCUUGGGCCCAUUUAAUGCCUGGGACAGCUCUGAAAGUGGGAUCCCUUCUGGUGCUGGGAUGGAUCAGGCUGAAGCACCUUGUCCGGCUCUUCUGGGCUUUCCCACACUCCUGCUUACAGGGCUCUCAGGGACUGCUUCUCUAAUGGCAUUUGUUGCACCAAAAGCAAAACGUCCCCCUCUGCUCCCUCACAGCCAGCAAGAGUUCUGGCCCUUAAAGGGCCUUUUCUUUCCUGUAUGGAGGGGAUCAGCUCCAUUUCCCAGAGUGAUUCUGCUGGGAGACUCUGUGAGACUCAGUGACUGAUUUUUCAAGUGCUGUUAGAGAUGGAGCACGGUGCACUCCUGCCUUAUCCAGGGGGUGCACCCACAGGCACUGUUGGCUGGCGUGGACUCUUUGCCUGGACUUUGUUCUUUGGAAAGAAGACACACAAGUGAAUGGAAAAGGACCUUGAUAAGACUUUCUUCUGAGAAAAAGACAGAGGAAAGCUGCACAAGCUGUUCAAAAACUGUAUUCCAAAGCUCUCUGCACUUCCCCCAAGUGAUCUUCCUCUCAGAGAAACAGAACAAGUGGAACUACAUAACAGAGGAGACAGAGAUCCAGCCUUCCCUUACUUACAAGUAUGGAUCUGAAGAAAGGCAGAUAAGGUGUGCUG
Molecule: long non-coding RNA, 1116 nt
Organism: Ficedula albicollis (Collared flycatcher)
Lineage: Eukaryota; Metazoa; Chordata; Aves; Passeriformes; Muscicapidae
Exons: 4
Source: RefSeq, a predicted model, not a curated record